AUUGAACGCUGGCGGCAGGCCUAACACAUGCAAGUCGAACGGUAACAGGAAGAAGCUUGCUUCUUUGCUGACGAGUGGCGGACGGGUGAGUAAUGUCUGGGAAACUGCCUGAUGGAGGGGGAUAACUACUGGAAACGGUAGCUAAUACCGCAUAAUGUCGCAAGCCCAAAGAGGGGGACCUUCGGGCCUCUUGCCAUCGGAUGUGCCCAGAUGGGAUUCGCUAGUAGGUGGGGUAACGGCUCACCUAGGCGACGAUCCCUAGCUGGUCUGAGAGGAUGACCAGCCACACUGGAACUGAGACACGGUCCAGACUCCUACGGGAGGCAGCAGUGGGGAAUAUUGCACAAUGGGCGCAAGCCUGAUGCAGCGAUGCCGCGUGUAUGAUGAAGGCCUUCGGGUUGUAAAGUACUUUCAGCGGGGAGGAAGGGAGUAAAGUUAAUACCUUUGCUCAUUGACGUUACCCGCAGAAGAAGCACCGGCUAACUCCGUG
Molecule: ribosomal RNA, 490 nt
Filed under: uncultured bacterium
Lineage: Bacteria
Description: partial 16S ribosomal RNA
Rfam family: Bacterial small subunit ribosomal RNA
Source: RNAcentral